AUAGGGAGGAUGCAAGCGUUAUCCGGAUUUAUUGGGUUUAAAGGGUGCGUAGGCGGAUGAUUAAGCGUGAGGUGAAAUGCCACUGCUCAACAGUGGAGCUGCCUCGCGAACUGGUUGUCUUGAAUGACUCUGCCGUGGGAGGAAUGUGUAGUGUAGCGGUGAAAUGCUUAGAGAUUACACAGAACACCGAUUGCGAAGGCAUCUCACGAAGGGUUGAUUGACGCUGAGGCACGAAAGCGUGGGGAUCAAACAGGAUUAGAUACCCUGGUAGUUCACGCAGUAAACGAUGAUGGCUAACCGCUGGAUCCAUCAGUUCAGUGGCCAAGCGAAAGCGAUAAGCCAUCCACCUGGGGAGUACGACCGCAAGGUUGAAACUCAAAUGAAUUGACGGGG
This 393-nucleotide ribosomal RNA is filed under the name uncultured bacterium. Its description in RNAcentral is "partial 16S ribosomal RNA". It matches the Rfam family "Bacterial small subunit ribosomal RNA", at positions 523 to 918 of the family's 1533-position model. The record is from RNAcentral.